GACGAACGCUGGCGGCGUGCUUAACACAUGCAAGUCGAACGAAGAGCGAUGGAAGCUUGCUUCUAUCAAUCUUAGUGGCGAACGGGUGAGUAACGCGUAAUCAACCUGCCCUUCAGAGGGGGACAACAGUUGGAAACGACUGCUAAUACCGCAUACGAUCUAAUCUCGGCAUCGAGGAUAGAUGAAAGGUGGCCUCUACAUGUAAGCUAUCACUGAAGGAGGGGAUUGCGUCUGAUUAGCUAGUUGGAGGGGUAACGGCCCACCAAGGCGAUGAUCAGUAGCCGGUCUGAGAGGAUGAACGGCCACAUUGGGACUGAGACACGGCCCAGACUCCUACGGGAGGCAGCAGUGGGGAAUCUUCCGCAAUGGACGAAAGUCUGACGGAGCAACGCCGCGUGAGUGAUAACGGCCUUCGGGUUGUAAAGCUCUGUUAAUCGGGACGAAAGGCCUUCUUGCGAAUAGUGAGAAGGAUUGACGGUACCGGAAUAGAAAGCCACGGCUAACUACGUG
RNAcentral lists this ribosomal RNA (510 nucleotides) under uncultured bacterium. RNAcentral's name for it is "partial 16S ribosomal RNA". It matches the Rfam family "Bacterial small subunit ribosomal RNA", at positions 28 to 507 of the family's 1533-position model. The record is from RNAcentral.